GUGCGCUAGCCUUCGCCGACUCUGCACAGAUUGUCAACUAUGCUGUAUUUUUAUCGGGUUUCUUUUUCACUUCAUAUUUGCUCUCAAAUGCUGAUACUCUGUGGGAAUUCAUAAAGUAUUCAGUACUGGAAGAGGUGGCUGGAGGCCGAGAAAUCUGGACUUCCCUACUGAGACUGCUGGCCCUGCGACCCGGACCCGAAUAAGCGGAAGAAAAUGGAUUGAUGGAUGAUACUACAUUCUGACAAGAAGUAACCCCUGGGAAUAUGUCCUCUGGAUUGGAGUGAGAGAAUAGUAGUUUUGCUUUUGUUUAGUUAUUUUGUAUCAUUGACUUUAUGUUGCUCAAACAAUUGUACUGUGGCGUCGCUGGGAGAAUUUCCUGCUUCCCAGCAUGUUUUGCUUGACUGUUUUGUAAAUAGCUGCUAAGUUACAUCGUUAGAUUUAACAUAGUUGUUGUUUAUUGUUCUCCGCCAGUAGUGGUAGUGUCUUGUCUGUUUGUCAUCUACCUGAUGCGCUGCUGUGUGUUUUUUUAGCUUCUUUCUUUUAUGACACUGUGAGCCAGAUUGUUACACUGUGUUGACUAAUGGCCUCCUGAGAUUUCCAGUGGGUUGACAAGUUCACUGUGACCUCUCUUGUAGUUUG
This is a long non-coding RNA of Dunckerocampus dactyliophorus (ringed pipefish), 639 nucleotides long. RefSeq lists it as uncharacterized. The transcript has 3 exons. NCBI's taxonomy places the organism in Eukaryota, Metazoa, Chordata, Actinopteri, Syngnathiformes, Syngnathidae. The record is from RefSeq and is a predicted model, not a curated record.